GACGAACGCUGGCGGCGUGCCUAAUACAUGCAAGUCGAACGCACUCUCGUUUAGAUUGAAGGAGCUUGCUCCUGAUUGAUAAACAUUUGAGUGAGUGGCGGACGGGUGAGUAACACGUGGGUAACCUGCCCUAAAGUGGGGGAUAACAUUUGGAAACAGAUGCUAAUACCGCAUAAAACCUAAACACCGCAUGGUGUAGGGUUGAAAGAUGGUUUCGGCUAUCACUUUAGGAUGGACCCGCGGUGCAUUAGUUAGUUGGUGAGGUAAAGGCUCACCAAGACCGUGAUGCAUAGCCGACCUGAGAGGGUAAUCGGCCACACUGGGACUGAGACACGGCCCAGACUCCUACGGGAGGCAGCAGUAGGGAAUCUUCCACAAUGGACGAAAGUCUGAUGGAGCAACGCCGCGUGAGUGAAGAAGGUUUUCGGAUCGUAAAACUCUGUUGUUGGAGAAGAAUGUAUCUGAUAGUAAACUGAUCAGGUAGUGACGGUGUCCAACCAGAAAGCCACGG
RNAcentral lists this ribosomal RNA (511 nucleotides) under uncultured bacterium. RNAcentral's name for it is "bacterial SSU rRNA". It matches the Rfam family "Bacterial small subunit ribosomal RNA", at positions 28 to 496 of the family's 1533-position model. The record is from RNAcentral.